Beta vulgaris subsp. vulgaris (sugar beet) is the source of this 1119-nucleotide long non-coding RNA. RefSeq lists it as uncharacterized. Lineage: Eukaryota; Viridiplantae; Streptophyta; Magnoliopsida; Caryophyllales; Amaranthaceae. The record is from RefSeq and is a predicted model, not a curated record. The transcript has 3 exons.
UAGUUAGAAAAAUCUAUGUGGCAACCUAAGCCAAUUUUCAUUUUGCUCUAUUAUUGGAGUUGCUCUUACUCAUUCGCUCACUCUCACUACUCUGUCUCUCUCUUUUUCUGACGAAUCCCUCACUCCGACCACCGUCGAGUUCUCCGGCUAAUCCCCUCACUACGAAAGCUAACCUCUCUUUGUCGCCGUAAGUGGGCCGCAGUUAAGGUGGUGCAGUGGGUUAAAUUUUGUGUUAAUAUUUCAAGGGUUCGUGGGUCAUCCUCACAAAAUCUCUAACCUUUAUCAUGCUCGCCAGAGAACAUCCAUCUCCCACCUUUCUCAGUCGCAGACGCCGAAUGAACGCCUCAAACUCUCAAACCUCAGGCGCGCCAUGCUAGGGUUUCAUUGCUCUUGGUUUUCGUCUUUAAACUUUUUGAAAAUUGCUUGAGUGUUUUCUUUGAGCCAAAAUUGGUUUGGGUGCGGAGAUUGAAUAAGGUUUUCGUCAUCCUCAUAAACUCAAGCAGCAGCAGCCGAGGUUGAGCGUUCCUCUUUCUAUCAUGGCUUCUUCGCUAGUAGAUCUUUCCAAAUAUCAUGAUUCAAUUCAAAGUUCUUCUCCAGUUAUAAGUUAUAAGUUAAAAGUAGAUCUCGUUCAAAGAUCAAUUCUUUGAUCAUUUAUUUGCGACGAUGUUUUUUUUUCAAAGCUUAAUUUAUGCAAAUUUUGAUCGAUUUUUCUUGGAGGUAAUAGCGUCUAUUCUUUAAUGUUUUUCAGAUUCAUUUGCUUUCUUUGAUUGUUUUUCAUCAGACAUGGUGAAUCCUCCACUGCAGAAGUCUCGUUCUGGAUAAAGUUUUGGAUCUGCAUAGAGUUCAUGACUUCCUCCUUAGCCUAUCUUUUGGAAUCCGACCCCGAAAUGGCUGACAAGUUGAACUACGCUGCAAUGAGGGCGGCUCAGCUUAAGGCCGAGCUUUAGGCGAAGAAACUCGGCGUUCCUGCGGCUCCUAAGGAUCCCUCGAAGCCAAAGGCCUCGAAAAAGAUAAAGGAGCGGGCGCCCGAGAAGGUUACCCAAACCGAGAAGGCCCUGGCCAAGGCCCAAGCUGAAAGGGCAAAAAAGGCGAAAUCGGUGGAAGUUAACAGUCCCCGAC